Octodon degus (degu) is the source of this 164-nucleotide small nuclear RNA. Its record names the gene U1. It matches the Rfam family "U1 spliceosomal RNA". From Rfam's summary of the family: U1 is a small nuclear RNA (snRNA) component of the spliceosome (involved in pre-mRNA splicing). Its 5' end forms complementary base pairs with the 5' splice junction, thus defining the 5' donor site of an intron. Lineage: Eukaryota; Metazoa; Chordata; Mammalia; Rodentia; Octodontidae. The record is from Ensembl.
AUACUUACCUGGCAGGGGAGAUACCAUGAUUACGAAGGUGGUUUUCCCAGGACUAGGCUUAUCCAUUGCACUCCGGAUGUGCUGACUCCUGCGAUUUUCCCAAAUGCGAGAAAUUGGCUUGCAGAAUUUGUAGUAGUGGGGGACUGUGUUUGCGCUUUCCUCUG